RNAcentral lists this ribosomal RNA (235 nucleotides) under uncultured bacterium. RNAcentral describes it as "partial 16S ribosomal RNA". It matches the Rfam family "Bacterial small subunit ribosomal RNA", at positions 118 to 347 of the family's 1533-position model. The record is from RNAcentral.
UGAGCAAUCUGCCCUUCUCAUCGGAAUAAGCGUUGGAAACGACGUCUAAUGCCGAAUACGACCUCCUUUCGCAUGAUCGGAGGUGGAAAGCUCCGGCGGAGAAGGAUGAGCUCGCGGCCUAUCAGCUAGUUGGUGUGGGUAAUGGCCCACGAGGCGACGACGGGUAGCCGGCCUGAGGAGGGCGACCGGCCACACGUGGGACUGAGACACGGCCCAGACCUCCGUACGGGAGCAG